Camponotus floridanus (Florida carpenter ant) is the source of this 690-nucleotide long non-coding RNA. RefSeq lists it as uncharacterized. The transcript is spliced from 4 exons. Lineage: Eukaryota; Metazoa; Arthropoda; Insecta; Hymenoptera; Formicidae. The record is from RefSeq and is a predicted model, not a curated record.
UCAAUUAUUUAAUAUCUAAUGCAAGAUAUGAUGUUUACAAAAAGAUUACACAAAUAAUAAAGAAAUUGCUUGACAAGAUGUGAUAUAUUUGAAGUUAUUAUAUUUUCACAAGUUAAAUCUGAUGUUGUAAUAACAAAAGAAUUAAAAGAAAAAAUCGAAAAGACGAAAAGAGAGGACAAAGUAAAAUUUGCGAUUGGAAUGAUAGUAUCGUAUAGGGGAUAUGGAAAAAAUCACUGCGGUGUAAUAAUUGGAUGGCAUUAUAAAAACAAUCAAUACUUUAAAAAAAAUUUAUUAAAAAUCAAAGAAAGAGUAUGAUUAUAGGCAGGUUUAAAUACUGUUUAAGAAUGUCUGUACUAAUAAAUAAACAUACAGACCCACACAAAUAUUAAACCAUAUUACAUAAUCCUCUCUGAAAAUGAAAUUUACUAUGUAGAACAAGAUUUGAUAUCGAUAUGUCUACCAAUAUGGAUCAAUCAUAUUAAAACAGGACGAUACUUUUCUACAUUUAAAGGCACUCAUUACGUUCCAAAUAAAAUCCUGACACAAUAUUAUCCAACCGAUAUCGCUAUUAUUCAGGAAAUAUUUUCCAGUCAAUAGUGUGCAUUACAACAUUUACAAUUCAUAAUAUAAAUCAACCAAUCAUAAAUCAAGUGAAAUGCAAAGUAUUGUUAUGAUAUCGGGAGUUCUACG